RNAcentral lists this ribosomal RNA (1425 nucleotides) under uncultured Methylophilaceae bacterium. RNAcentral's name for it is "bacterial SSU rRNA". It matches the Rfam family "Bacterial small subunit ribosomal RNA". Lineage: Bacteria; Pseudomonadati; Pseudomonadota; Betaproteobacteria; Nitrosomonadales; Methylophilaceae. The record is from RNAcentral.
GUUGAACGCUGGCGGAAUGCUUUACACAUGCAAGUCGAACGGCAGCACGGAGAGCUUGCUCUCUGGUGGCGAGUGGCGAACGGGUGAGUAAUAUAUCGGAACGUGUCCAAUAAUGGGGGAUAACGAGUCGAAAGAUUCGCUAAUACCGCAUACGCCCUACGGGGGAAAGCAGGGGAUCGUAAGACCUUGCGUUAAUGGAGCGGCCGAUAUCUGAUUAGCUUGUUGGUGAGGUAAAGGCUCACCAAGGCGACGAUCAGUAGCUGGUUUGAGAGAACGACCAGCCACACUGGAACUGAGACACGGUCCAGACUCCUACGGGAGGCAGCAGUGGGGAAUUUUGGACAAUGGGGGCAACCCUGAUCCAGCCAUUCCGCGUGAGUGAAGAAGGCCUUCGGGUUGUAAAGCUCUUUCGCAAGGGAAGAAAACUUAUGAUCGAAUAAAUCAUGAGGUUGACGGUACCUUGAUAAGAAGCACCGGCUAACUACGUGCCAGCAGCCGCGGUAAUACGUAGGGUGCGAGCGUUAAUCGGAAUUACUGGGCGUAAAGCGUGCGCAGGCGGUUUUGUAAGUCGGAUGUGAAAUCCCCGGGCUCAACCUGGGAACUGCGUUCGAAACUGCAAGGCUAGAGUGUGUCAGAGGGGGGUAGAAUUCCACGUGUAGCAGUGAAAUGCGUAGAGAUGUGGAGGAAUACCAAUGGCGAAGGCAGCCCCCUGGGAUAACACUGACGCUCAUGCACGAAAGCGUGGGGAGCAAACAGGAUUAGAUACCCUGGUAGUCCACGCCCUAAACGAUGUCAACUAGUUGUUGGUAGAGUAAAAUCUAUGAGUAACGUAGCUAACGCGUUAAGUGUUCCGCCUGGGGAGUACGCACGCAAGUGUGAAACUCAAAGGAAUUGACGGGGGCCCGCACAAGCGGUGGAGUAUGUGGUUUAAUUCGAUGCAACGCGAAGAACCUUACCAGGGUUUGACAUCCUGCGAAUCCCUUGGAAACGAGGGAGUGCCUUCGGGAGCGCAGUGACAGGUGGUGCAUGGCUGUCGUCAGCUCGUGUCGUGAGAUGUUGGGUUAAGUCCCGCAACGAGCGCAACCCACGUUUUUAGUUGCCAGCAUUUAGUUGGGCACUCUAGAAAGACUGCCGGUGAUAAACCGGAGGAAGGUGUGGAUGACGUCAAGUCAUCAUGCCCCUUACAUCCUGGGCUACACACGUACUACAAUGCUACGGACAAAGGGCAGCAAACUCGCGAGAGCUAGCAAAUCCCAUAAACCGUGGCUCAGUUCAGAUCGUAGGCUGCAACUCGCCUACGUGAAGGCGGAAUCGCUAGUAAUCGCAGGUCAGCAUACUGCGGUGAAUACGUUCCCGGGCCUUGUACACACCGCCCGUCACACCAUGGAAGUUGGCCACGCCCGAAGUCGUUACUCCAACCCUUGU